UAAUCAUUGUUUUAAAUCAAACCUGUUAUGAUUUAAGAUAAUGAAAGCACCGCACACCACGUUACCUGCUGAGCUGGACUCCGGGUUCCGUGGUUCUUUU
This is a regulatory RNA element of Streptococcus mutans, 100 nucleotides long. It matches the Rfam family "23S methyl RNA motif". The record is from Rfam. Lineage: Bacteria; Bacillati; Bacillota; Bacilli; Lactobacillales; Streptococcaceae.